This 323-nucleotide ribosomal RNA is filed under the name uncultured Spirochaetota bacterium. RNAcentral describes it as "bacterial SSU rRNA". It matches the Rfam family "Bacterial small subunit ribosomal RNA", at positions 28 to 351 of the family's 1533-position model. Lineage: Bacteria; Pseudomonadati; Spirochaetota. The record is from RNAcentral.
GACGAACGCUGGCGGCGUGGAUUAGGCAUGCAAGUCGAACGGUAGGAACCUUUCGGGGUUCUGAGAGUGGCGAACGGGUGAGUAACACGUAGGUGAUCUACCCUCAAAUCGGGGACAACCCAGGGAAACUUGGGCUAAUACCGGAUGACAGCUACCUUCGGGUAGUUUGAAAGAUGGCUUCGGCUGUCGUUUGAGGAUGAGCCUGCGCUCUAUUAGUUAGUUGGUGAGGUAAUGGCUUACCAAGGCGAUGAUAGAUAGGCGGCCUUAACGGGUGGCCGCCCACACUGGGAUUGAGAUACGGCCCAGACUCCUACGGGUGGCUG